RNAcentral lists this ribosomal RNA (688 nucleotides) under uncultured bacterium. RNAcentral's name for it is "bacterial SSU rRNA". It matches the Rfam family "Bacterial small subunit ribosomal RNA", at positions 644 to 1336 of the family's 1533-position model. The record is from RNAcentral.
GAGUGCGGGAGAGGCAAUCGGAAUUCUCGGUGUAGCGGUGAAAUGCGUAGAUAUCGAGAGGAACUCCAGUGACGAAGGUGGGUUGCUGGACCGACACUGACGCUGAGGCGCGAAAGCUAGGGGAGCAAACGGGAUUAGAUACCCCGGUAGUCCUAGCCCUAAACGAUGAGUACUUGGUGUGCGAGUUUUAAGUACUCGCGUGUCGUAGCUAACGCGAUAAGUAUUCCGCCUGGGGAGUAUGGUCGCAAGAUUGAAACUCAAAGGAAUUGACGGGGACCCGCACAAGCGGUGGAGCAUGUGGUUUAAUUCGACGAUACGCGAGGAACCUUACCUGGUCUAGAAUGUGAGGGAAUGAUGCAGAGAUGUGUCAGUUCGCAAGAACCCGAAACAAGGUGCUGCAUGGCUGUCGUCAGUUCGUGCCGUGAGGUGUUGGGUUAAGUCCCGCAACGAACGCAACCCCUAUCGGUAGUUGCCAGCGAGAAAGUCGGGGACUCUACCGAAACUGCCUACGCAAGUAGGAGGAAGGUGGGGACGACGUCAAGUCAUCACGGCCCUUACGACCAGGGCGACACACGUGCUACAAUGGGCGGUACAGAGGGUAGCGAGGUGGUGACACUGAGCCAAUCUUGAAAGCCGCUCUCAGUUCGGAUUGCAGGCUGCAACUCGCCUGUAUGAAGCUGGAAUCGCU